RNAcentral lists this unclassified non-coding RNA (175 nucleotides) under fungal sp. Its description in RNAcentral is "partial internal transcribed spacer region". The stretch from base 1 to 46 matches the Rfam family "Eukaryotic small subunit ribosomal RNA", at positions 1786 to 1831 of the family's 1831-position model. RNAcentral also lists the same sequence under 1 other name. Lineage: Eukaryota; Fungi. The record is from RNAcentral.
AAGUCGUAACAAGGUUUCCGUAGGUGAACCUGCGGAAGGAUCAUUAGUUAUUAUCCAUAUUAAUAUGGAAUUGAUUUAUUCUAUACUUUCAAAUCUUGUUGAUAAUUUUUUUAUUUCAAAUGAAAUAGAAAUGAGUAACCAAAUAUAACUUUUAACAAUGGAUCUCUUGGCUCUC